This is a non-coding RNA of Danio rerio (zebrafish), 1616 nucleotides long. The record is from RefSeq and is a predicted model, not a curated record. NCBI's taxonomy places the organism in Eukaryota, Metazoa, Chordata, Actinopteri, Cypriniformes, Danionidae.
CUGUGGAAGUUGAAACGUCAGUGAGUGUCAGCGGCAGCGUGAUUCACGUUUGAGAAACUAACUGCACGCAACCAGAAGUUUUACUAUCAGGCACCUAUUUAUAUCAAAAUGUACAUGCAGCAAACUGAAGACAUCGAGACGAGCAUUUAGUGUUGAAAUAUUUUAAAGUGGAUUAAGUACAUGUAACGUUAGAGACACCGCGACGCUUAACGCGCGAAACCAGAUGUGAGUGUUUCUGAAAUGAUCUAACGUUACUAGACUUUCAGAUCUGAUGGAGACGAAGGAAAAGAGCCGUAAACCUCCAAAUAAGACUCCACAGUCUGAAGGAGAUCAGGAGGAUCAACCCUGUCCUGAUACUUCCUGUGAAAAAAAUGAAGAUCAGGAGCCUUCCUCACCAAAACAGGGAGAGUUCAGUGAUCCGGUGUAUAAAGAGAUUGCAUUGGCAAAUGGUGCCAUCAACCGAAUGAACAGAGAAGAGUUGCGUGCGAAAUGCACAGAGCUGAAACUUGACACACGUGGAGUUAAUGAUGUCCUAAGGAAGCGCCUCAAAAGCUACUACAAAAAGCAGAAGUUGAUGCAUUCACCUGCUGCAGAAGGGAACAGUGACAUGUACUUUGACUACAUCUGUGUGGUGGAUUUUGAAGCAACAUGCGAAGAGAAUAACCCACCAGAUUACCUCCAUGAAAUCAUUGAGUUCCCCAUGGUGUUGAUCGACACACACACACUGGAGAUUGUGAGUUGGUAGACUCGUUUCAGGAGUAUGUGAAGCCAGUGCUGCACCCACAGCUCUCUGAGUUUUGUGUAAAACUUACCGGAAUAACGCAGGAAAUGGUGGAUGAGGCAAAAACAUUCCAUCAAGUUUUAAAGCGAGCAAUUUCUUGGCUUCAGGAAAAAGAACUGGGCACAAAAUACAAAUAUAUGUUUUUGACAGACGGGUCUUGGGACAUGGGGAAAUUUCUUCAUACACAGUGCAAACUGAGUCGCAUCAGAUACCCACAGUUUGCCAGAAAAUGGAUCAAUAUCAGAAAGUCUUAUGGGAAUUUUUAUAAGGUUCCUCGUACUCAGACGAAACUGAUCUGCAUGCUGGAGAAUCUGGGGAUGGAGUAUGAUGGACGUCCGCACUGUGGUCUAGAUGACUCACGCAACAUUGCCAGAAUCGCCAUCCACAUGCUGAAGGACGGCUGUCAGCUGAGGGUGAAUGAGUGCUUGCAUUCAGGAGAACCGCGGAGCGUGCCUAUCUCUGCCCCUAUUGAAGGAGCACCAGCACCUCAGCCCCCCAAAAAACGAGACUAGAAAGACUCUUUGCCAAAAAAAUAACAACAAAUAUGAAAACCUGCCAUGUUGUGGAAAAAUGAUCUAGAUUAAUAAAUAUUGAAAUAUUUGCUGAGAGAAUUGUACAUCAUAACAGAUGAUGAAGCUUCACCAUUACAGCAAAUUGGUUUCAUGUACUGUAUUUGGAACUUGCUCCUGAGAAACAUACACUGCAGGAAGUGUUUAUUUCCAGCCUGAUGGGUAAUUAGUAAUUGUUGUAUUUUUUAAAAUCCCUAUUGCACAUACAUUUUGCAGCUCUGCUCUACAUGUAUUAUUUUGCCAAUAAACUUUUUAGUGAUGGUGAG